Molecule: unclassified non-coding RNA, 240 nt
Filed under: plant metagenome
Description: partial contains small subunit ribosomal RNA, internal transcribed spacer 1, and 5.8S ribosomal RNA
Source: RNAcentral
UUUCCGUAGGUGAACCUGCGGAAGGAUCAUUAUUGAAUGAAACACUUCUGGCUUUAUGCUGUUGUGCUGGCCCUUGGGCAAUGUGCACACGGCUCUGGUCACUUGUUUCUUCUGUUCCACCUGUGCACUGCCUGUAGACACGCUGUGUCUAUGAUAUUUGUUAACACACAACAAUGUUAGUUGGCAUGUUAUAUAUAAUAAUAAAAUAUACAACUUUCAACAACGGAUCUCUUGGCUCUC